CCUACGGGGAGCAGCAGUGAGGAAUAUUGGUCAAUGGGAGAGAUCCUGAACCAGCCAAGCCGCGUGAGGGAAGACGGCCCUAUGGGUUGUAAACCUCUUUUGUCGGAGAACAAAGGCGGGGACUAGUCCCCGGAUGAGGGUACCUGAAGAAAAAGCAUCGGCUAACUCCGUGCCAGCCGCCGCGGUAAUACGGAGGAGGCGAGCGUUAUCCGGAUUUAUUGGGUUUAAAGGGUGCGCAGGCGGCCUGUUAAGUCAGCGGUAAAAGCCCGGGGCUCAACCCCGGCGAGCCGUUGAAACUGGCGGGCUGGAGUUGGAGAGAAGUACGCGGAAUGCGCGGUGUAGCGGUGAAAUGCUUAGAUAUCGCGCAGAACCCCGAUUGCGAAGGCAGCGUACCGGCUCCACACUGACGCUGAGGCACGAAAGCGUGGGUAUCGAACAGGAUUAGAUACCCGGGUAGUC
Molecule: ribosomal RNA, 459 nt
Filed under: uncultured bacterium
Lineage: Bacteria
Description: partial 16S ribosomal RNA
Rfam family: Bacterial small subunit ribosomal RNA
Source: RNAcentral